Molecule: ribosomal RNA, 497 nt
Filed under: uncultured bacterium
Lineage: Bacteria
Description: partial 16S ribosomal RNA
Rfam family: Bacterial small subunit ribosomal RNA
Source: RNAcentral
GAUGAACGCUGGCGGCGUGCCUAACACAUGCAAGUCGAACGAUCAGAGGACGAGCGGGCUUGUCUAAUGUUGCCGGCGGACGUGUGACAACUACGCGGGUAACCUCUCUAUAAGACAGUGCUAGCUUCAGGAGAUCAUACCGCAUACCACCUAAUGACUUCAACGGGAUAGUGCAAUACUGAACGCGGGUUGUGCGGCCGCUUACAGAUUGAGCCGCGUCGCAUUAGCUAGUUGGUCAGGUAAAGGCUUACCAAGGCAACGAUGCGUAGCCGACCUGAGAGGGUGAUCGGCCACACUGGAACUGAGACACGGUCCAGACUCCUACGGGAGGCAGCAGUAGGGAAUCUUGCGCAAUGGGCGAAAGCCUGACGGAGCAACGCCGCGUGAGUGAUGAAGGUCUUCGGAUCGUAAAACUCUGUUAUUAGGGAAGAACAAAUGUGUGAGUAACUAUGCACGUAUUGACGGUACCUAAAGAGAAAGCCCCGGCUAACUACGUG